This 301-nucleotide ribosomal RNA is filed under the name uncultured bacterium. RNAcentral's name for it is "partial 16S ribosomal RNA". It matches the Rfam family "Bacterial small subunit ribosomal RNA", at positions 509 to 807 of the family's 1533-position model. The record is from RNAcentral.
CAGCCGCCGCGGUAAUACGUAGGGUGCAAGCGUUAAUCGGAAUUACUGGGCGUAAAGCGUGCGCAGGCGGUUAUAUAAGUCAGAUGUGAAAUCCCCGGGCUUAACCUGGGAAUGGCGCUUGUGACUGGCGGGCUAGAGUAUGGCAGAGGGGGGUAGAAUUCCGCGUGUAGCAGUGAAAUGCGUAGAUAUGCGGAGGAACACCGAUGGCGAAGGCAAUCCCCUGGGCCUGCACUGACGCUCAUGCACGAAAACGUGGGGAGCAAACAGGAUUAGAGACCCCUGUAGUCCCUGUCUCUUAUAC